GCUGCCCCAUAAACCAGCUCAUCUCUCCAGAUGACCCCUGCAGGAGAUUGCAACACAAUACCACAGUGAGGAAAGCCAGAUGUUGCCCACAUCCCCCUCGGAGAAACCCGCCAGGGGCAUGUUGGGACGUUGGGAGUGUGAGCCCUGGAGACAGUGUUGUGGCAGGGAUCCAGGUUCUCCCAGCUGCCGGCCACAGGGCUCUGCCCAGGGGUCCUGAGUUUCCUCAAUGGCAUUCUAAUCCAUGAGUGUUCAGAGAGAGCAGGUGGGCUCCCCUACCCGGCGCCUUCCGACCGGCAUCUGGAAAAGGAUAGUCAGAAACGCAGUGAAAAUUACGCCUGCAACCCUGGCAGGCAGGGAAGCACUUAAUAACUUACGUGGGUGUCAGGGCAAGGGAGGCGUCCGCAGACCAGAGUUGUGAUGGACCGUUCUCCACCAUGUGAUGUUCAUUUUCUCCACUGAGAUUAAAAAAGAAGAGGAAAGGAAAGAAGGAAAGUGCACAACCUCCUUGAAAAGACAGCUCCUCCUGCCGAAAAUGUGUUGCAGACUCGGUCAGUCAGGUGGACUUAAUUGGAAGGCACUUUCUUUUUGAUGGAAAAAGAAGGAGAAAGAUUUGUAAAAUUGAACCAAUGUUAACACACUCGCAUCCCACAAGGAGCUGAGUUUUGAUCUGCUUCAUGCUGAGAGAGCGGGAAGGAGACCAGAGUGUGUCUCAGACUUUCUAAGCUCAGCUUUUUUUCUGGUACAGAGGAGAAGUUCAAAUGCUGAAAUUCUGUUUAUAUGUAGUGCCUGCUUGGCUCAAGCAGUGCAAACCAUGAACUCAAACAGUCCCAGUGACAACUGUCCAUGUGGCUCCAGACCUGCAGAAAGAACGUGGAAGCUCUGAAAAAGUCACAACCAGAGUUUACGUCCAGCCUCACUCUUCAUGACCUGGCAUUUACUUGUAACGGUGGACUUUACACACCACCCACAGACCCUGUGAAGCUGGGAGAAGCCACUGACAUUUUGUCCUUCCUCACAUUUCAGUGUGAUGAGCACACACAGAAUACCUGCCCACUGCGAGGUACGACAGGAAAUGCCGGUGACUCAAAGACCAGGGGCUUGGUCUCUUCUGGGCACCUCUUCCCAUUCAUGUUUCUCCUCUUCACUCCUGAUUCCUUUGCAUUCUCCCUUGCAAUUGCUUUCCAGUUAUUUCUUGAUGCAACUUUUUUUCUCAAGCUAAUUUUCAUGGGACACUAUGGACAUCUUUCGGCCUCACUGGAAUUACUCAAGGUAAAGAGCAUUUCAUAGACCAGCGGCUUUGCUGGACAGGAAGGGCUAAACGUAGAAUCAACGACAGUCAACGAUUAAAACCAACUUUCAGCUGAGUUGCAAACAUUCCUUAUUAGUUUUCUUCAGCAUGAGUAUUCCACACAUGAAAUCCUCCACUUGGUUCUGCAUAUGGGGGCAAUUGUUACAAUCAAAAUAGUUCAGAAAAGUUGAGGAAUUACUUCAUGAGGACCGUGUCAUCUCGAUGCAUAGACGCAAUUACUUCUGCAUCCGAGCCAUUAUUACUCACUUUCCCAUUGGUUAGAAAUUAAUAUCAUCCUUUCACUAAACCAA
This is a long non-coding RNA of Homo sapiens (human), 1599 nucleotides long. Ensembl annotates it as long intergenic non-protein coding RNA 2063. The record is from Ensembl. NCBI's taxonomy places the organism in Eukaryota, Metazoa, Chordata, Mammalia, Primates, Hominidae.